AGGCUUCGGCCUUAGUGGCGCACGGGUGCGUAACGCGUGGGAAUCUGCCCUUAGGUUCGGAAUAACAGCUGGAAACGGCUGCUAAUACCGGAUGAUAUCGCGAGAUCAAAGAUUUAUCGCCUGAGGAUGAGCCCGCGUUGGAUUAGGUAGUUGGUGGGGUAAAGGCCUACCAAGCCGACGAUCCAUAGCUGGUCUGAGAGGAUGAUCAGCCACACUGGGACUGAGACACGGCCCAGACUCCUACGGGAGGCAGCAGUGGGGAAUAUUGGACAAUGGGCGAAAGCCUGAUCCAGCAAUGCCGCGUGAGUGAUGAAGGCCCUAGGGUUGUAAAGCUCUUUUACCCGGGAAGAUAAUGACUGUACCGGGAGAAUAAGCCCCGGCUAACUCCGUGCCAGCAGCCGCGGUAAUACGGAGGGGGCUAGCGUUGUUCGGAAUUACUGGGCGUAAAGCGCACGUAGGCGGCUUUGUAAGUCAGAGGUGAAAGCCUGGAGCUCAACUCCAGAACUGCCUUUGAGACUGCAUCGCUUGAAUCCAGGAGAGGUCAGUGGAAUUCCGAGUGUAGAGGUGAAAUUCGUAGAUAUUCGGAAGAACACCAGUGGCGAAGGCGGCUGACUGGACUGGUAUUGACGCUGAGGUGC
RNAcentral lists this ribosomal RNA (638 nucleotides) under uncultured Alphaproteobacteria bacterium. RNAcentral describes it as "bacterial SSU rRNA". It matches the Rfam family "Bacterial small subunit ribosomal RNA", at positions 72 to 754 of the family's 1533-position model. The record is from RNAcentral. Lineage: Bacteria; Pseudomonadati; Pseudomonadota; Alphaproteobacteria.